RNAcentral lists this microRNA (22 nucleotides) under Gallus gallus (chicken). RNAcentral describes it as "gga-miR-3528". Lineage: Eukaryota; Metazoa; Chordata; Aves; Galliformes; Phasianidae. The record is from miRBase by way of RNAcentral.
CAUGCCCCAGUCGUGUUGCAGA